GAUGAACGCUGGCGGCGUGCCUAAUACAUGCAAGUCGAGCGAACGGACGAGAAGCUUGCUUCUCUGAUGUUAGCGGCGGACGGGUGAGUAACACGUGGAUAACCUACCUUUAAGACUGGGAUAACUUCGGGAAACCGGAGCUAAUACCGGAUAAUAUUUUGAACCGCAAGGUUCAAAAGUGAAAGACGGUCUUGCUGUCACUUAUAGAUGGAUCCGCGCUGCAUUAGCUAGUUGGUAAGGUAACGGCUUACCAAGGCAACGAUGCAUAGCCGACCUGAGAGGGUGAUCGGCCACACUGGAACUGAGACACGGUCCAGACUCCUACGGGAGGCAGCAGUAGGGAAUCUUCCGCAAUGGGCGAAAGCCUGGCGGAGCAACGCCGCGUGAGUGAUGAAGGUCUUCGGAUCGUAAAACUCUGUUAUUAGGGAAGAACAUAUGUGUAAGUAACUGUGCACAUCUUGACGGUACCUAAUCAGAAAGCCACGGCUAACUACGUG
Molecule: ribosomal RNA, 497 nt
Filed under: uncultured bacterium
Lineage: Bacteria
Description: partial 16S ribosomal RNA
Rfam family: Bacterial small subunit ribosomal RNA
Source: RNAcentral